RNAcentral lists this ribosomal RNA (253 nucleotides) under uncultured prokaryote. RNAcentral's name for it is "partial 16S ribosomal RNA". It matches the Rfam family "Bacterial small subunit ribosomal RNA", at positions 524 to 776 of the family's 1533-position model. The record is from RNAcentral.
UACGUAGGGUCCAAGCGUUAUCCGGAAUCACUGGGCGUAAAGCGUGCGUAGGUGGGUGCUUAAGUGAGUUGUUAAAUCGUGUGGCUCAACCAUAUCGAUGCAAUUCAUACUGGGCGCCUAGAGGACAGCAGAGGCAAGUGGAAUUAGCAGUGUAGCAGUGAAAUGCGUAGAUAUUGCUAGGAACACCAAUGGCGAAGGCAGCUUGCUGGGCUACUCCUGACACUGAGGUACGAAAGCGUGGGGAGCGAACAGG